CAACUCAAUAUACUAAUGACUAAGAAUAUUUUAGAUUAGGGCUAUCAAGGAUUUAGGUCUCACUAGCGUAAUCUCAUCACGGCCCUAAAAUCAUUGCUUAAAUCUAUGGGGUUCAUUAUAGUCUAAGAACAAUAAGAUGUAGCAUAUAAUGAAUAAAAAAAAUAUCUAUUUUAUUAAUAAUAUAAAUAUCAAUUAUAUGAGUUUGGAAGAUAAAUUAUAAUAAAUAUCCUAUCG
Molecule: long non-coding RNA, 234 nt
Filed under: Elaeis guineensis (African oil palm)
Lineage: Eukaryota; Viridiplantae; Streptophyta; Magnoliopsida; Arecales; Arecaceae
Description: long non-coding RNA (EGUI_LNC067816)
Source: RNAcentral